RNAcentral lists this ribosomal RNA (253 nucleotides) under uncultured bacterium. Its description in RNAcentral is "partial 16S ribosomal RNA". It matches the Rfam family "Bacterial small subunit ribosomal RNA", at positions 524 to 776 of the family's 1533-position model. The record is from RNAcentral.
UACGUAGGUGGCAAGCGUUGUCCGGAAUUAUUGGGCGUAAAGGGCUUGUAGGCGGUUUGUCGCGUCGGGAGUGAAAUCCACUGGCUUAACUGGUGGCUUGCUUUCGAUACGGGCAGACUGGAGGUAUGCAGGGGAGAACGGAAUUCCUGGUGUAGCGGUGAAAUGCGCAGAUAUCAGGAGGAACACCGGUGGCGAAGGCGGUUCUCUGGGCAUGUCCUGACGCUGAGGAGCGAAAGUGUGGGGAGCGAACAGG